GUGACACCAACGUGUCACUGUAGACAAGAUCCUACGUAAAAUCUAUAUCUAUAUAUCUAAUAAAUCAAACCAUUGGGGGACACAUGUCACCCAAUGGUGCAAGCCAACUAAGCAGACAUGUCAGCAUCUAUGUGGCACACCUCAUAGUUGAGGAUUGAAGGAGUGUUUCUCAUUUACGUUCAUCACAAUAUCUCUCCUCUCAAAACCCUAAAUCGAACUCUCUCUCUUUUUUCCUCUCUGAACGAACACGGCGAACACAGGAACUAUAAUUGAUCCAAUAAUUUUGUUCAAGACUCAUAGGAUUUGAAGUCAGAUCAUCUACGGAAAUCACAUCGGCCAGAUCAAAUUGGUGAUUUUGUGAAGAGAUUUUAAGAUUUGGGAGGAUCUAAAAGGUUAUUGAAGGCUUUAAUCGGAAAUUUCUGUUUGGCUGUGGUUGGUUUAAAUGGACGGUUGUUACACGGAGGCUGUGAUGAGUUAUCAAAAUAAAGCCAAUAUGUCGCCAUGGCGUGGCAGAUAUGGAGGAUGGCAAUUGGCGAUGAUGUUCUAGGUCUGAUCAUUGUUUGACGUGGCAUCAUAGAGGAUUGCAGGUGCAUUUUUAUAUGCUUACAACCUAUGGUGCAGCCAUGAUAGCUUGAGACCUUUGUAUGAGCCUUACCGUGCUGGUAUUCAUCGACGAGAUGUGUAUGUGGUUGAUGUUGAACAAAAUAAAGCCAAUAUGUCGCCAUGGCAUGGCAGAUAUGGAGGAUGGCAGGUCUGAUCAUUGUUUGACGUGGCAUCAUAGAGGAUGGCAGGUGCAUUUUUAUAUGCUUGCAACAUAUGGUGCAGCCAUGAUAGCUUGAGACCUUUGUCUGAGCCUUACCGUGCUGGUAUUCAUCGACGGUAUCCAUGCUUGAUUUCUAUAAACCCAUCAGGUCUGUAAUAGUCAAUGGUUUUGCUAAUGGAGUGUAUGUAAUGUUGUCGAGGUGUCAGUGAUAUUGUCGAGGA
This 984-nucleotide long non-coding RNA is filed under the name Helianthus annuus (common sunflower). Lineage: Eukaryota; Viridiplantae; Streptophyta; Magnoliopsida; Asterales; Asteraceae. The record is from RNAcentral.